UACGUAGGGUGCGAGCGUUGUCCGGAAUUACUGGGCGUAAAGCGUGCGCAGGCGGUUCGUCGUGUCUGAUGUGAAAGCCCCGGGCUCAACCUGGGAAUGGCAUUGGAAGCUGGCGGACUAGAGUGUGGCAGAGGGGGGUGGAAUUCCGCGUGUAGCAGUGAAAUGCGUAGAGAUGCGGAGGAACACCGAUGGCGAAGGCAGCCCCCUGGGCUAACACUGACGCUCAGGCACGAAAGCGUGGGGAGCGAACAGG
RNAcentral lists this ribosomal RNA (253 nucleotides) under uncultured bacterium. RNAcentral's name for it is "partial 16S ribosomal RNA". It matches the Rfam family "Bacterial small subunit ribosomal RNA", at positions 524 to 776 of the family's 1533-position model. The record is from RNAcentral.